UUACAGUUAAUCAACCAAGGGGUGGGAGUGAACAAAAAAUUUUCAUUUUUGUUAAAGAUCAAAAUAUUGACAAAAUUCUACAAGUCAGUCCAAAAAAGAGGUGCAAGAAUGAUAUCUUCAACCACCAGUGUGCCAUAGUUGAAUUGGCUAUGUUCCAAACCUCAAAUGAAUAGACACCAUCAGCCUUUUCUUCCCUUUGGAGGUUUCAUGCUACCAUGAACAUUUGAAAGUGAGUGUGGCUUUUUGUCUGAGGUAAGUUUCAUUGACAUUUCAGACUUCUUUGAAGGAAUUAGUGAUGAAAAAAGGAUGGCAUCAACGGCUUCACGCUGUUUUUUCCUUUUCACUAUCAAUUCCUUUUCAGUGUCACAUCGACUUGGUGCAGCACUAUUGUUACGUUCCUCCUUGGAGCUUUCUUCUACCAAGGGAGCUGAAGAUUCCAAAUUAGUACAAAAUGUAUCAUGCUGGGGCGACUCUUUUGAUCUUUUUGAUGCAUGAUUAUCAACCUUACCUCGUUCAGAAUAAUCAAAAUUACUCGACUUUUCACGUUCUACUUUCCUCUUACCACGACUGGUAUUGCACUUGUUGAAUUUCUUUUCAGCGCUCUUUCCACUUUUACUUUCAAAGUCUCUUCCGUGUUCCAUGUGAACAGCACCCUUAGCAGCUUUAGAGGGUCGGUUGAUACUGCCAGCAACCGGAGGAAUAGCAUCCUCUUUAACAGAGGCGUUAUCCUGAAUGGAAUCGAUAUCGUUAGUUUUAGUACAUUGAGAGGGAGUAUCUUUCCCUUCACUUUCAAAAGUUUCUUUCCCACUACGUUUUGAAUGGUGCCUUUUUCUAACAUUGUCAGUAUGCUUCAGUGUUUUUGAAUUAUUCUCCGUAGUCUGUGGAUUAGAAUUUCUAAGAUUAGUAGUUUUGAACAUUGAGUCAUAUGGCUUUUUUACUGAUACAACCAAAUUUCUCUCUUUAGCAUCCUUCAAAAGAGCUCCCCAGUCAGGGUUCACUUGCAAAGUCCUUGAAUUUCCUAAUACCCAAAGAGAAAACUUUGCUCUUGUCAGAGCAACAUUCAUACGUCUAGCAUCAGCAACAAACCCAAUACUACUAGAGUUCUUUCCAGAAUGAGGACUUGAAUCUCCUGCUCUUACAGUUGACAGAAUCAGAAUAUCAACCUCACGACCUUGGAAACCAUCCACAGUAUUAAAUUCCAUGUCAACUAUCAAAGAAGCUCCAAAUGAAUGGGAGAAACGGGAUCGCAGUAGUGACAGUUGACACUUAUAGGGAGUUAUGAUGCCAAUUCUUACUCUGUUGAACUCAGUCAGAUGGCUGUGAUACAUAACAAAUCAAAUGUUUAAAGCAGUAAGCAACAGGCUUUCUCCGAGUAUACAUAAACAAAAUUUAAAUAAGCAAGCCAUCUACCUCUCUUUGAAAAACUUCACUAGCUCAACUGCAGCAUCAGCCUCGUGCUCAUUAUAGAGUGAAAAUGCACCACCGCUUUUACUUCGAAGCUCCUUGCCAUCAACAAUGUCGAAGAAAACAUAUGGUCCCAGACCUUUUGUCUUGUGAAACAAUGCAUUUUUUCCGGACAUCCCAUCUCCAUUGAGUAAUUUUCCAUCAUAAAAAUGCUGAGAUGGAAAGUGACAGAUCUCUGGAUGCAUCCUAUACUGAGAAUGGUAUGAAAAUUGACAGUUAAUGCAUUUCAAAUUUCCAAUCAUUAAGAUCCAUACCAUCCAUUUUGAAGCCAAAAAAUUGAAAAACAAAGACAAUGCAUACUAUUCAUGAAAGUAUGACAUCAGUAGUCCAAAAGCAAGCCCAAUCAAAAUUCAACCAAAGGAUUUUCCUCCUUCGUGGAGGCAUCCUUUUAAAGAGGCAAAAAAAAAUCCCUCUGGCUCGCCUUCAGCAGAGCCUUUCUCUGGAACCUUCAGCGUGAAAGGAAUAGACAGAUCUUCAACGAAAACCUUUCUCCUUUUGAAAGUUGUAUGGAAAUUGUUCUUUGUAAAUCUCUUUAUCAAGGUAAAUUAUUUAAUCCUUUUAUAGAUUGUAGUCUAACCAAAUUAGUCGCUAGCCGGAGACCAUGUUUGGGGGCCAUCUUUUUUCUUCUUUCAAUGUGAAACACACUAUUGCUCUACUGAUUUAAUGAAAUAAUACAAAAAGAGUGGGAAAGACACUAUCAAUCCGUUAAGAAGCUAAAUAAAAACUCCUCCAAUUGACCACUAAAUAGGAUAAAUUGUAAUUGUGAUAUAUGGAAGAUGGAAAACAACCAUGCCAUUUAAACUAAAUAUUAAAAUAUUCGUCGAUAUAUCCUUAAGUUAGAGAGUUUGACAUCGAUAUCAGGAAUUAAUCAAUAUCUUUGAUAAAUCUUAUAAUAAAUACCCAUAAAACAUUAAAAUUUUAUCAUCAAUAAAUUCUAGUGUGAAGAUAUACAUUAACACCAAAAUCGAAAUCUACAACAUAGUUUGGAAGUUAAAGUAACUUGAUUAUUAGAGAUUUUAUAAAUUUUUGUAUUUACAAAAAUAUUGACAUCGAUAUUUAAUUUACCUGUCUUGUCAGCAUGACAACUGGAUGGCCAGCCCUUUGUAAUCGCUCAAACAUACUACAUUCAUACAAAAACUUACUUGCAACAUUAGAAAGAACAGUCGCAGGAAGCUGCUUUGGAUCUCCAACCUUCGAUGAUAAAUAGAAGACUCAAUAUAGAUGCUCAACAAUGACAUGGAAUUUGGAAAGACCGUAAAUUAAAUACUCCUCACCAUUAUGCAUCUGAUUGCACUUGAUUUUAAAAGCUGAAGAGGUAUUAGAGUAGCAGGUUCCAAAGCCUAAAGCAAGAAGAAACAUUUAAAAAAGAGUAUGAAAGAGUCAAGCUUAACUAGUCCACUUAAAGCUAAAUUCUAUAUUGUCAUUUAAAAAAAGGAAAAAAAGAGACUAAAUUCUAGACAGAAACAAACUUACUUGAGCAGCUUCAUCAAUCACAACAGCAUCAAAUAGAGUGUUUUCUGAUGAACUUCCAAACUUGCAACUUAGUAUUGAUUCAGCACACACUGCAUAAAGGUCUCCUCCAGAGCCGCUUAAAGUACUUACCACUAUCUCAGCUUCCCUAAGAAUUGACUUUCGCAAUUUGUGCUUCAGUGCUUUGACUUCCUCGUUAGAUUUCUUCUCAAAUGCCUGUGCUAUACUAAUAUCUUUAUAUAUUUGUUUCUUUUGUUCAUAUAGUUUUCGAAGCUUUGAUUGUAAUUCCUUCAAAGACAUCUCCUUUUCAUCAUCCCCUGCACUGUUUUCCACAGAACUUUUGAUGUCAGGAUUUUCAUCCCUCAGGUUUGCACAUUUGACUUCAUAAUAUCUAAUACGAUCUACCAACUUCUCUAGACUACUACGAAGUUCCAUAGAUGAGUUUGUCCCUAAAUCAUUCUUCGCAUCAUUAGAACUCAUUCUCUCUUCAGCCAACCGCUGAUCAACAAGAGAAUCAAUAUAGAAGGGCAGUGAAUUUGGAUGAACCGUCUUAGCAUUUCCAACUCUGACAAGAUAUGGCUUGUACAUCUUACCAUCACCGUCAUAAAGACCUAGAUUGGAAAUUCUGGAUACCAAUUCAUCAACCGCUGCAUUGGAUUGAGCACAAAUAAGGACCCUUCUUUUCAUGGUACUAUCUAUUGAUAUUGAAUUCCUUUGCUUGUCCUCAUUCAAUUGUCUAGCCAAUGCUGCAUUUUGCCACGCCCUUGCAACUGCAACAGCCUCGCUAAUCUUUUGCCUUGAAUUGUCUUGUUUCAAAUUUCUAUUGAGAGAAGAUCCAGCAAGGUUAGUUCUUUGUGAAGCAGAAGCAAGCAAGGCACUGACAAUGGCUAAUAUAGUUCUUGUCUUCCCAGUACCUGUUAACAGAAAACAAGCACAAUUAGAGAACACAAUAACUGCUCAAUGUCAGAUCCUGAAUAUUACAUACCUGGUGGACCCUGAACGAGGGAUAAUUCCAGGUCAUUCUUCAUAUUUCUUGAUCCUAUGGAAACGUCAAUUGCUUGUAGUUGACUGACAUUAAAGGAUGACUUCAAUAUCUGUUGCAAUGGUCGGGACAGUUUACUUAGAUCAACUACUUUAGAUUCAUCAUGAGGAAUAGAAGAAGUUUUGGGAUUUAAUAUCGUUGGAACAACGGGAAUAUCCUUUAUUGAUGAAAGUGCCUGAAAUUCUCGUAAUUGAGGUGUAAUGCUCAUAAUCCGACUUGCAUACCAUUUACUACGUUCAAUUAGGUUCUUUCUGGCUUGAUGUAAUCGAGAAGAACCACUCAACAAAUAGAACCUAAUUAUGAGCAAAUUCAUUUUUCUUUUAUUAUCUCUCUCGCGCCUAUCCACCUGAAAAAACAAACAGGUAAAGUUAGAAUAUUUGUUAACAUUGAAGGGGAGGAGGGGGUCAACAAAAAGAUGCAGAUAUUCCAACAAUGAUUGCAGGGUUCAAUUUCUCUAUAUUCUAUCAAGGAUCAUUCAAACAGUUCUUCGAACAAAUCUUACUUUUCAGCUUCUAGAAAUGAACUAGAAUGCAUACACAAUACUUUAGAUUAUACCCUAAGAAAUAUUUAGGGUUGACUGUUGAGUAGUGGCAGCAGAUCUACAAUAAGCCCAAGGAAGGUUCAAGCUCCUUCAAGUUGGAUGAGUUAUAUAUUUAAGUUUUAAUAAAAGUGUCCUAACCGUGUCCAUGUUCUAAAUUUUUAAAAGAUGACAUGAUGCCAAGUCGGAGUCAUAUCGUAUCUGUGUCUGCAUUCUUAGAUUUCUUGGAUUGUGGGAAUAAAAACUCUGGAAGUAAGUGAGGCUACAGUCUAAUUGAUGAACUGGAUUUGAAUAAAUUGGUAAGAUCAAUCUGUUUUCAGAAAAGGAGAUUGUAAUACAAUAUGGGCCUUGGGCUGUCUUGUCUUCUUUUUCAAAACCUAAAAAAUCCAACUUGGCAUCCUACCCAUGCAAGGAAACUAAUGUCACAGCCACUACGUUCUGUAUUUCACCUAUGCCAGUCACUUUCACUGGGCAAACUCACAUCACUACCCUAUCCUAGUUUUCCGCUACAGACGGCUGCAAAAUUCGCUGUCUUCCACAAUUUUUCACAUGUGCCACCACAUACCCUGGUUAAUGUACUGGACCAGAUGGGCCUUAUAUUUAAGGAUGCUAAAUUUCAAAUUCUAACGGGGUAAAUGCUAAUACAAGAAACACUAAAAUGCUACAAAAUACUACAAGUAACACUAAGACGCUAUAACACAUACUAUCAUUACUCUCCACUUCAAAAAACAAAAAGAAUUCCAUGUGUCAUACAGUACCUUUCCAACCAUAUGUGCACCCUGUGGAGAUUUUUGUGGAGGCUCUUUAGUUAGCAAAAUAAGGUCAUUUUCGGCAAAGUUUUUAGAAGCCACUGAGUUGUUGUCAUCAUAGGCAAAACGAACAAGAUGAAAUUCAUCAACUCUCUCCACCGAUAGUACAGAAAUCUUGCCCAAAUACAUCUCAUCCCAAGAAGACAUCUCAACAAAAGAAUUGCGUAACUGAGCUUUAAACUCCUCCAAAAUCAACGGCCGAAAAAUCUCUACAUACUGUUCUGGUGACUGAAAACAUACAGGAACCUCUUUUAAAUGUUUAACCAUAUGACUCUUAUCUUCACUCGCUGAUGUCAAACCAAUCAUGGCAAAAUAAUCUAAUUCCAGUAUAGAUCUAUACCAAUCAUCAAGCCUUGGUGGUUUGAAUCUUUUUGCACCAAUCAUCUGCCUUUGUAAAUGGACAGCUCUAUUCUCAUCAGGUGUUUUAAGUUGGAUGACUCGUCGCUUGGGAACAAUGGUGAUUGGUUUUAAAAUAUUUGUUUUCUGGUUUCUGACAGAAUUGAGUUCAAUUUCCAGCGGAUCAUCAGCAGCAUCAGACACUACUUGUUUCAAAACAGCAAAAUUUGCUACAGAAACUGCAGCUUCACAAGAUUGAUUUUUGCUUUUGGAACCAGUUGCUUUAUUAGAUAGCACCUUCAAAUCAAUUCUACCAUUUCGAGCAACAUCUUUACUUAGAAUGCAUUCAGAGUUCAUUUCUUUAGGUCUGGCAUCCACGUCCUUAGAUUUCAAGACAGAUGACAUUGCUGGGCUGGUGUUUGAAUUGCCAGAGGCAUGCUCUUUGAGUGCAAACGUAGAGCUACAUUGAUCAUUUAUUUCUUGGUCUCUAUCCACUGUGUAAUUUGAAGGCUCAACAACCAAAAUCUUACUUUUCCCAAAAUCACCUCGGGCAUCAUUUUCAUUACUGGGAGCUAUACCUACAUCAGAUUUGGAUAGAAAGGCUCUGGUCGGUGAAACAUACGGUUUUGAUUCAUCGUCUGAAAGGACAAUCAAUUCACCAAAUUUUUCCUUCUUCGCCUCCGGACUUUUGACCAUCGUCGGGACAUCUACCUCCUCUACACCAGGAGACUCUAAUGUUGAGGUGGAAAGCUUGCGGCCAGAGGGGAAAUCUUCAAGCACUAAAGCAUUCGUUCCCAAAUUGGUCUUGACAAUAUUGUGUUUUUCGUUCUUGGAUAAUAAAAUCGUUAGGUGUGCUACCUUCUCAGUUAACUCAUCCAUCGCAGCAGCAUCUGAAGAAAAAUUAAACAAAAGUGUACUUAAAAAAUUAGUGACAGUAUUGGGUGUAAAUAUGAUAAAUGGUAUUAAACAUCAUUUCUGUGUGAGAAAAAAAAGGAGUUUCUAGAAAGAACCCUCACCUAACGAUAUAAGGUGUUCAAUAGCCCCAAUUGUUGAUGUAGCAGAAAGACAACAUGAUCCCUUAAUGAAGGUCAGCAAUGAAAUUAUAGCACGUCUCCAGUAAGUGAGAACAACCUUAAGAGAUGACUUUCCCCAAUCCAUUAGAUCAUGAAGCCAAUUGAAACCACAUGCAUCUUUCACUUCCAUCUUGGUACCAGAGAAUUCAACUAAUGAUGGGUUAAAUCGUUCAAAAACAAUGGGGAUGAUCUCAAGUAAGCGGACACAAGUCAUCUGUAAACAAAGAAAGUAUCAUGAUAAUAUAAAUUUGCAAUCAGUAAAUAAGUCUGUCAGUCUAUGAUAAGUAAAAUAUUAAGAUAAGAUCUUUCCAACAUGAGGAAGUUUGUAAAGAGGUCAGUAGAAUUUACUGAAUCCAUUUCCUCGUCCAUGAAACUGAGAGGAAAAAGAAGUUUAGAAUUCUUGGAUGUUUGAUACAAUUUUUUCUCUCUUUUUCUCUCUUUACUUUCCUUUCCUUUUUAUUUUUCUCCCUCUCUCUUUCUUGUUCUUUCUUCUUUUUUUUUCAGAUUUGAAGUAUGUUCCAAUGAGUCCUGAGGAUGGGUUAAUUUCCAGAAUUAUUCAAAAUUUAGAGUCACUUGUCAUUAAGAAUUUUGUAGUCUUUUUUUCACUCUUCCAAGAGUUCGUUUCCUUGAGCAUUCUGGCUUCUUUUCAUUUAUCAAUCAAAUUUUGCAUCUUGUCUUGAUGAUUUAGAAAAAUAAUCGUUUCUUAAAUAGUCUCCUUGAAAUUAUCACUUUAAGAGAGCACUAAUCUAAACUCAUCUUUGCAAUUGGCAAUUUAUUCUUUUACCAAAUAGCUCAGUAGCUGGAAUUGAUUCGUCAUAGAAUGGUUCUUUGCAUAAUAGAAUAUCUUCAAAGGAAGCUAGAGAUUCUUCUCCAAUAAAAUUAAGAGCUCAAUGAUGCUUACUCCGUCCUUUCUGAGAAGUCCAACGUAGAAGCUAUAGCAGCAGAUUUGGAAGGCCCUUCACAGUUUUCUCAAGUUUCUCUAGAUGGUAGCAAAAGCCAAUAAUAGUCAUUGUCGACAGGGUGUGUUUAGUUAGGUAUAUGAAAAUUUUUGCUCACGGUGUUCUCUAAAUAGGUGUAUUUUCUGUUUCAAAAUUUUCUUAUUUGCUCCUCCUGUAUCCCUGGAACUUUUAAUUAUUUCCCUUAUAUUAAUGAGAGGUUGUUUCUUGUUUUAAAUAAUGCUCUAUUUAUCUAUCCACUUUGCAGUUAAGUUUUUUAACGCAUGAAUGGGCUCAGAAUCAAGUAAUCUAGUUUGUGCAUUGUUUGUUUAACGUUCUUGGCAAGUUAAUACUUGUGUACUUCUUCACUCCAUCAAAUGAAAUUUUCUGUUUCUUUUUUUGUGUAUUGUUUCUUUUAAUUUUCUCAGAUCUACAGAAAAUUAACCAGUUAAUUUUUUACAAGCAAACAAACCUCUUAUUCCCAAAAGCAUUCCUUAAAAAAUAAAAACAAGUUGAACAAGAAGAAGAACAAAAAACAACCAAGAUAUUUGGCUUUGAAGGAGGUAUGAAGCUCAUAAUAUUACAGGCUACAAAUAAAAUGAGCAGAUAACCAUUUACGUCUUGAAACGUGUAGAAUGGACAUUGGACAUACUUGACAAUAACUGUAAUCGAGAAAGCCCUUGCCUUCAACCAAUAGCCUCAAAAUAGAAGGCCACGCUGCAUUAGAUAGUAAACAACUGAACUGUUGGAGUAAUUUAGAAUUAACUUUUGAAGAUUGUUUGCCAAAGUUCAGCAUUGAUGCAUCAAAAACUGGCUGUCUAAGAAAUCCGCCUUGGGAAGAGGUAUUUGUGACAUCCGUAUGAUUGGAUAAAUUUUCUGGCAAAGCUGAAUGAAGUGAAUCACCUUCUACUAGCUUACGAAGUAUGAAGAACAAAUGAUGCAGAUUCUGAAAUUUCAUGAGGAUAGAAUCCAUUUGAACCUAGACAAUACAAAUGAAAUUGCAUAUGAACAAUCACAAAUAGGAAGGAAAAAAGGCCACCACCAUCACGUUCACAGUUUAAUUGUGAAUCUGUGAUCAACCCUAAAACUCAAAUCACAUAUGAAAUUCUUGAUAUGACUAUCAGUAAUCAAUAAUUAUUUAGCUAUGACCAAACAAACAAAAGAAAAUUUAUCAAAUGGUUUCAUAAUAAUUAAAAAAACUGACACAACAUAUACUGGUAGCAGAAAAUGAAGUAGUUUACAAGGGUCACUCUUUAAGAUUCGGGAGAAGAGAUGUCAAAUUUUGGAGCCACAGUUUGGAGCCACAAUUCUUUAGAGGGUUCUCAUGCAAAUCCUUCUUUCAAUGUUUGGUGGACCUCUCCCCCUUAGGCGGUUCGAUUUUUUCAAUGCUUUGGAGGAUUAAGGUCCGUAGAAAGGUGACUUUACUUAGCAGGUUCUUCAUGGUCAGGUUAGCACGUUGGACAAGCUUGUCAAGAAGCUACCCUCCCUCACCGGUUGGUCCUUUUUCGUUGUAUUCUUUGUCGGAAGGCAGAGGAAGAUUUGGACCAUAUUCUCUGCCGUUGUGGCUUAGCGUGCGGUUUCUAGGAUUCUCUUUUCCAAACAUUUGGUUUGGCAAGUGUUUAUCAUAGAGACGUCGGGCCUUUGAUCGAAAAGCUCUUCCACAAUCCACCAUUCGAAGAGAAAGGUUGUUUGCGGCUUUUGGCUAGUGUCUGCAUGAUUCUUUGGGUUUUACAAAGUGAACAAAAUUGCUUUAAGAACCCCACCAGUUUCUUCUUCAAAUAUAGGGUGAAUGGAAUAGCAGAGUGUUUAGGGGGGUUGAAAGGGAUUCUAGGGAGUUAUGGUCCCUUGUCAUUUUCAUGUUUUCCAUUGGGCUUUGAUUUCCAAGGAUUUCUGUAAUUACUAUAUAGGCACGGUAUUGUAUACCUAAAGUCUCUUCUUGUAAAGGGAGUCCCCUCCUGUGGGCUUAGUUUUUAGUAGGCCCAUGUAUUCUUUCAAUUUUUUCAAUGAAAGUUGUUUUUUUUUAAGGAAACAUACUUUUCAUCAAUGAAAGUUGUUGUUCUCAUAAAAAAAAAAAAAGGUGAUUUAUCUUGCUUCCAUAUGUCCUUCUCGAAAAUAUUGUGCAUCAUCCCAUAAUGAAAAGUGUCUUUGUCUUCUAUAUCCUUGUAUUAUUGAACACAAGUCUAUUUUCACCAUUCCCUUCAAAAACAUGUUGUAUCAUUUUCCCCCAAGAAAAUAAAGUAUGGCAUCGUUGAAGUGUUGAUCUAAUUAAAUUUACCAAACUCAUAAGCUUAAUCUCUUGGGUCCAUCAAUGAUUUGACAUGGUAUCAGAGCAAAAGGUCAUGUGUUCAAGCUCCUACAAUGUUAUUUCCUCUCCAAUUUGUAUUGAUUUCCACUUAUUGGAUCUUCUACAAAUUUAAAGUCCACAAAUGUGGAGAGUGUUAGAGUACUCAUAUAAAACUAAAUUUACCUUCAUCGCCAGCUUAAGCUUUUGUGUCGUCACCAGAAGCUUUUGUGUCAUAAGUACACAUGCAUGUUGGAGAGAUAAUACUAACACAAUUGGCAAAAUUUGAACAACGAAUUUGGAUACAUAGCUAAUAAGAAACUCCAACAAGAUAUAUAGAUGCAAAUAUAACUAUCAACCAGAAAGAAUACAGUUAGAUAUAAAUUAAAUAAUACAGAUGAAUAAUAACCUAGCUCAGAUUAGAGUUUUGAUUACCAGUUUCAGAGCAUGUCUCAUUCCCAGAAAGACGGCAGAUAAUGAGUGCUCAGAAGAACAAAGAAACUCCAAUCCACAAGAAAGACCCUUUGUGUCUGAAAUUUGUUCUAAGACAUGCUUUCCAAACUGCCUUACUUUCUGAAUAAAAAAAAUAUAUUCAUAUAUGUGCAUUUUUGGAAUAAGAAUAAAAAUGAGAAGGAAAAGGAUAAAACAGAAGACUGAAAGGAUAAAACAGGCGACUGAAAAUCAUUUAAAAAAGGAAAGAAAAGAAAAAGGCAUUGCAUUACAUCACUAGAAUCAAAAAGCGAAAGGAUCAGACUUUCCCCCAUUCUCGGCUCCCAAGUCCACUGCUUCCUCAGCUCUCCUUGCCCCAUGAGAACUAAGAAAUGGGCAGUCAACCUGAAAGAGGCAUAGACUGAAGUGAACCAAGUAUCAUAGAGCCUGUCACCAACUAGAUAAAGCACAAUGUACUUAGCUUUGCAGCAUAAAAAUAAUUCUGAAAGGUAAUUCUCAACUGAUCAAAUAAAUUUUACGUGAAGAUGAAUGCAAAAACCUUGUAAAUGUUUUUAUUAAAGGAAGGAACAUCGUGCACACUUUUAGUGAGUUUUUUGGCUCUUUCCCAUCCCCACCAUCAUCAGAACCAGUUGGCACCUUCCAUCCCAGUGAACUGGAAAUUUCAAAAGAAGAUGAUGAUAUCCAAGUUCUCAGUGGAAGUUCAGAUUCAGCAGUGGUUUCAGAUUCCACCAUAGAAAAACGUGAUCGAGCCCAGAAGACGGCUUUCGAAAAAGAUAUUGGCAGAACGAAGGGAUCAAUAUCAACCAGAACAUCAAUCCAUAACAUCGGUACGCACAUCCACUGUUUAAAUUCUGUUGAAAUUAUAUUGCUCUGCAGACUGAACUCACCCCAACAAUUAUCAUCCAUUUCAUUGGGAGCAAAAAUAAGUGUGUUUUCAUCUUCAGCAAUAUCGAAGUUAUAAUUAACGUUACUUUCAUUGGAGAGAGGUACUAUACAACUAUCCAGCAUUGAAUGAAUCAAUGCAGCAGCAUCUGAUACUAUAAUAGAUUGUAUAAGCUCAAAUGCAGGUUGCCUCAGUGAGCUGUGAAGAGAAGAAUCCUUCAGUGAUGACACAAGAGCAGGGCCCCUGGUCAACAAAAAAAAUGACAACACAUGAGCAACAAAAUCUUAUAGUGACGUAAAGAAUUACAUUGACAAUCGACUAAAUAGUGAUCUAACAAAUCUGUAGUCACGUAAUUUCUUUGUCCUCCGCUAUUCAAUUCAGUAACCACAAAGUGGCAAAUAUUUAUAACUUGUUAGAAGCCACUCACUUAUGUAGCUAAACAUUAUAACAAUUAUCAAUUAAUUUCCCUACUAAUUAUGUGUCAGCCUACUCGGAUCAUCAAUGCUGACCAGGAUUUGAAACUUGUACAGUUCAGGUGCCUCUUCAUAAUUUGUCCAAACUAAGCACUGUGUCCACAACCUUACACACAUCACUCAGAUUUUCAAAGAUCAAAUUCAAAUUAUUUAAGAAAGUAAAUUUGGAAAGGAAUCAAGUGAGUGGACAUGCAUACACACAUACAAAAGAACUAAACAAUUAAUUCAGGUAAUGAGUGUCUGCUUUUUUAGAAAGGAUAAGAAACUUUUGGUUAAGAAAAUGAAAAUAAACUAAUGCUCGAGGAUACAAGGAAUAACGAAAAGAACUAAAAAAAGAAGCAUAGGCAACAACACAGAGUCAUAAAGCAAACUAAAAGGAAACAAAAAUAUAACAGUACUUAAGAGUAAUGAGUGUUUAUUUCCGGACCAAUUCUCAAUCUUCAAGUGAUGAUCUCCUAUGGUUUUCCAUUUACCAUUGUCAGUGAUACAUAAUUAAAUUUGCCUUCAACCACUAACUUAAGCUUUUGGGUGAAUUAGUAGUUUAAUAUGGUAUCAGAGUAGGUGGUCUAGGGAGGUCCUGUGUUCAAGCCCAUGCAUUGUCAUUUUCUUCCCAAUUAAAAUUGAUUCCCACUUGUUGGGCGUUUCAAAUAUUUCAAGCCCACAAGUGAGUAGGAGUUUUAGUGAUAUAUAAUUAAAUUUGCCUUCAACCACUAGCUUAAGCUUUUGUGUGAAUUGGUGGUUUAAUAACCAUCAAUAUGCAAACCAACUCCUCUUUCACCAAUUUCCACUUAAGCUUUUUCUCUCACAAAGGGAUUUAUACUAAUGCUGACUUCAAAAUGAUUUUCCAAAGAUUGACAAAGAUCACCUCCAAGAUCUUUUGUUAAGGUUUUGAUCUCGUUGUUUGGAAGAGGGUUAAAGAAUGGUUGAUAGAACCUGGUUUUUGGUUUCUUCAAAAUUCAAGGUGUCCUAGAAGAAGUUUCAUUUCGUGUCAAGUCACUCUCUUUAGUGUUAUCUUAGUCUAGUUUUGAUUUUCUCUUCUUGUUCUGGCAAGAUUUUGAUAGCUUUAUGUUUAGUAUCCUUUUUUGUAAUUUGAGCAUUAGUAUCAUUUACCCUAGAGACUAUGAGAUCCUCAUUGACUUACAUAAUCUCAAAUUCUUUUCUAACCCAUAAAAGGAAUCAUGAGAUUUUCUUUUACCUAGUACCUCCAUCAAUUUUUAAAAAUAAUAAUAAUAAUGAAAAGAAACCAAUGUUGAACUUUGAAGAUACAAAUAUAUAAAAAUAAGAGGAAAAACCCUUUUACAACAAAGCAUAAGAUCUAUGCAGAAACUAAAACAAUCCAAUUAAAACAAAAGAGGACGAAACUCAAGCAAUCUCUCAACUAAAAAACCAAGGAUGAGACUAAUCUAGAAAGGCUCAAAGAAAUCUUCUAAAACAAAACUCUGCAAGGUAAUUUACAACUCCACGAGAUCAAAACAACAAAGGAUAAGCUUCUAAAAUGUACAGUUGAUCUUAAUCAAGAUAUCAAACACCCAAUGGAAGUGAAAAAUGGGCAACCAACACUGCACUCGAUAAAAAGGCAAUGAAGGUCUUCAAAAUAACCAUGAAAAGCGAGACAAGCAUAAAGGUGGAAGCUUCCUCUGCAAAGAUGAGUAAAAGCAAAACCUAUAGCCUCCAAAAGAUGUUUCAAUCUUCCUCAUGUGAAGCUCGGUAUGAGUUCCUGUUGGAAGUCAAUUUUUGCAUAGAUGAACCAUGACUAGAUAUCCAACUUCAAAUACUUGACAGCAUCUGAGUUGAUCUGCCUUCUUCCUGUAAUUGUCACAGGUUUUCUCCAGAGGAUCAUGUACUUUGUGUAAUUUUGCAACACGUUCAAAUAUCUCUAUGUUCCAAAUAGUCAACCAUUGAAAAUUCUCUCCAUUCCUAUUUCCAAUCGUACUUCCAAACUAACUUCAUGGUCCCAUCAUUGUGCCUGUAGUUGUCGUAGCUACAUUUUCCCCAUAUUUUGUUCAUUUCCCAAUUUCUUCCUAUCUUCACACAUCUUCCUCUGCCUUGCAUGCAGAAACUUAAGUGUGGGCUUAUCACCCAAAUGCAUGAAUUUACAUGGAGUUUCUUUUUAAAAGCAGGGAAUGCAUACAUCAGAUAGUUCAGGUUGAAUGGUAGAAAAAAAAUACAUAGUACACGUUUUAAAUCGAAGUCUAGGCUAACUCACCACAUAUGUGCACACUCGAAAGGAGGGCAUGGCGGAUUCAUCUUAUAUCCUCGGUGAACAAUUUGAAGAGCUAUCUGAAAAUAAAGUCUACCAAUAAAUUUACAUGCAUAAAUACAUAUUACACAUACAUACAACCAGAAAACACUACAUAUAUUAAAUUUGCGUGUGUGACACAAUUCUUAAUUGUUGAAAAAUGAAAUUAAUUAGUAUGACCAUCCAUGGGGUAGAAAAAACAACCUGACAAGCCUUUUGCCUGGUUAGGACACUAAAAUUACUGCUAACUGGCACUUGAUGAAGAAGGAAAUAAAGGAAAUGCCUACGUUGCUUUUCAUGUUCCCCAUCUUGCAAAGCCUCGAGAGACUGGAGGCAUACCACAUUUAAGUUCAGUAGUGAGAAUAAACAAAAUUAAAAAAAAAAAGGAAAACGAUAUAUCAGCAGCAACAAAAAGUAGAUAAUAAAUUAAAUAAACUUAGCCAAAGGCCCCAAAUACUUGCCCGCAAAAACGGCAGAAAAAGAUCAAAAAUGUCUUUAUGACUUUUCUCAUUUCGAGUGUGGAAGCACUGACCCAAUAAAGUGUUACGCAUCACGCUAGGAGAUAAUGUAGACCUCAACCAAAGCUCACAGCCUUAAAAGGACAUUUAUUAAGAAAAAAAAACAAAAUUACAAAGAAAAAAAGAACUGUUAAAACCUGUACCAUUUACUGAAAACUCACGCACACAUGAAAACGGCAGAAAGUGGCUCACUGACCAAGCAUCUCAAAGAGUAGUCUUAAGCAUGUAACUGCAUGAGAGAAUUCAAGUGAAUCGCUGCUUAUAUGAUUAAGUACGAUGUCAAGAAAAAUGGGAUAACGCUCCAAUAUCCCUUCUUCAAACGCAGGAGGCUCCAAGAAUCCAAGCCUUCAGAAAAAACAUAGUAUAUGAGAAGCAAAAGAGAGAAAGAUAUCAUAAUUAUAUCAAAGGUUUAGCAACCACUUCCUACAAUGACUUAAUCCCAAGCCAUACAGAUAAACGGUCUAGCUGUACUCUUGGCCUUGGCAUCAGAGAAGUAGAUGGCAGAGCUUCUGUUUCCAGAAAAGUUAUAAAUUUCUUAAGCAAAGGCUGCAAAGGUUCCAAAUCUGUCGCCAUCCUACAACCAAAAUAACAUAUCCAUAAAGUUGAUUCCUUCAUCUUGGCUAAGAAACAAAGGAUAACAUGCUUGGAUACUUCAAGUUUGGACACAAGAUUCCACAUGUUACAAAAAAUUGAUAGCUGCCGAGUGGAAAGUAGAAAUUGAGAUGUGAAAUAAGGUUAAAGAUACUUGGUUCCUGGUGUAAUACCAAAGUCUAAUUUGACUUGAACGAAAAACAAACUUUACCUUACAAUGAGGGGAGAUGAACUUUAUUUAUAGGAAAAAAGUUAUUACAACUAUAAGUUUGUAAAAGGAACACUAACAAAUCAAAAUAACAAACAAACUUAUUACCAACUGUCUAACUAACUAACUCUUAGUUAGUUUACAAUAAAAGAGUGUGAUGGUACACCAUAUUCCAUCCCCCAAAAUCAGACUCGACCUCAAGGGAAUCCAACAAAGCUAAAGAACUUGCUAGAGAACACUCUAAAGGAUUCGGACUACAAAAACAAACAUCCCUUCUCUCAAGCCUAAAAUUGAGUCAAUUUCUUUUGAAAUCAAGUCCAAUGGUUGUGACCCAAUACUACUAACACAGGUAUCUAAUGCUUCAUUUGAUUCAUUGUAUGGAGAAGAAGAAGAUAAACAACAAAAAGUGCUAUUUUACAGAAUGUCCAUAGUUAUCAUCAACAGAAUGAUAGGACUGGUAAUAAAUUUCACAGUAAAACAGACAGAUGACUAAUUCUUGUCGAAAAGUACCUUAGUUUUCCCAUUGAAGCAGCUAAGCGAUGACCUACCGAACGCACUCUUCUAUUGAAAAAGAAAAGGGCAUAAGCACCCUGACAGACAUGCACCAUAUAAGAAUCAUAAAGAGAAUAGUUCUUGUUCAAAAAAAAAAAUAAUAGGACAGAAUAAUUAGGUAUUCCUCUUUAGUACCGGAAACUGCUGCUGUCCAUCCAAAGCAAGUUCAUGAAUUUCAUCUACAGAUUCGAUGAACUUUCCAAAUUCAGUGAACAGCGAUUGAUCAUCCAGAAGAACAGGAAACAUUAGAACCUGUUGUAAGACAGAACUUGUGCAAUCACUACACAUGCGGACACAACAUCAUAUUGUGGAAAGGAAAGGCGUUUGCAACUUUGCAAACAUUACAAUGUGAAGUGAUGACAACAGCAUGAAUCUAUGUAUACUAUAUUUUUUUUUAUACCAAAAAAAAAAACCACCAACAACAACAACAACAAAAACAACGAUAAUUAAAGAGUUCCUUAGAUAUCUCAACAAGAAGCAUUAUACAGCAAACAUUAUUGCAAAGAAACCUUAGAAAGUGAAUGGUGGUCCUUUUUCUUCUUUCUUUACUUUCAUUGAGAAAAAAAAUAAAAGAAUAUAAGGGCGUACAGAAAACAAAACCUACAAAAAAACCGUGGCAAUUUAUCUUUUAACGAUUUUUCUAAUUUGAUUGUUUUUUUUUUUUUUUAAGAAAACGACGCUUUUCAAUGAUAUAAUGAAAAAGGUUAUUGCUCAAAAUGCAAUGUCACGUGAAACAAAAAACAAGUACAAGAUAAUUAAAUGCCUAGACUGAGAAAAUAAAAGCACUCCAAUUCAGAAAAAUAUCUUGAAUAGAAAUUUUAGCAAAAAAUUGAGAAAGAGAACACCUAGGUGAGGCAUUGGUCCUUGGAACUUCAAACCAAUUGAACCACUACUGAAAUUUAUCAUGGAAGACCAUUGAUUUCUCUCAAACCAAAUUUUUUUUAUGCAAACAACAUUUCAUUGAGAAAAAAAUUAAAGAAUGUACUACCAUACAAAAAACCAAGCCCACAAAAAGAUGGAAGAUUCCACUACAAGAAGAGAUUCCAACUAUGUAAUAAGGUGUCUAUAGGAUAAUUACAAAAGUCCUUCAAAAUUGAAGCCCAAAGAGAAACAUGAAAACAAAGGAGGGACAAAACAUCCAAAGGCUCCCUCUCCAAAUUCCUGAACACUCUCCUAUUCCGCUCACCCCAUAAGACCCAAAGAAUUGCACCCACCCUGCACACCAUAAAAAACUGACCCUUCCUCCCAAAUUUCAGCGAGUAUGGCUUUAGCUACACUUUUUUGGAGGAAGCACUCAUGAUCCCAUUAGGUAUAGUAUGAACUAUUCCUCAACCUACUUUCCUCCAUGGUGCAAAACAGAAAAAGCAACAACAGCAUAAAAAAAAUUAAUUAACAGACUCAGGCUAUGAAAAUGUCAAAGAAAAAGAAGGAAAAUCAUUGAGAGACACCAAGCCACAUGGAGAAGUUAAUUGAACUUGGUGUAAUCGCUAUCUGAAAUCAUUGUCUAGUACCAUGCUUUGCCAGCUGCCUCUACUGUUGCAGCCUCCUCCUUCGGGAUAAUGCUCCUCUUGUCAAGCUUUUCCUUCUUUACUCUCACAUUGUGCCUCAGCCAGUAAAGACAUUCUCCUGUAGUCUUAGCAUAUGGAUUAAGCUUCAACAUGGAGCUAAGGCUCUUGAGUAGGUUCUUCAAUGAAGGUCUCUUCACAUCCUUCUUGAUGUGCUGUUAAGAGUGAACCUCGUCAUAAUUGAUGAUCCUAGCCAAAUCAGCAGUGACCAUUUUCGCCCUUGGAAGAACGUAACCCUUCUUUUUCUCAUAGAACUUUUCAAACGAUCCAUAAAUGGAAUCAAGAUUUUCAAAAGCAGUUUUGGUCCAGAUAACAAAUCUUCCAAGAUGACCUCCAGGAGCCAGCUUCAAAAGGUUCAACCUCCCAACAUUCACAAUAUCAAUACCCAGAAUGUUACAGAAGGCCUUCACAAGCUUCGUGUUGAUUUUAUGGAAUUAAUCUAUAUUUCAUUAAUUACUUAAUAGAGAUACAAGCCUAUAUAUAACCAUAGAGAAAUACACUUAAGGAAAUAAUAUCAAAUAAUAUCUCCAGAAUAAUAUCUCCUAAGAAUAAUAUCUCCUAAGAAUAAUAUCUCCUAAGAAUAAUCUAAUUAUAUUAAUACCCUCCCUCAAACUCAAGGUUGAAAUCACAAACUUGAGUUUGCUAAGAACUAAGAAAAGAAACAAUAUAUCUAGAAUAGAAUAAAAAACCCGAAGAAGAAACACACAAAGAACUUCUAGGCUAAAACAAACCCACGAAGAGCGAAACGAAGAACUUCUGGGAUAGAAACAUAGAUCCUCGUAUAGAGAUCUAUAACAUAACCUAGGAAGAACGAAACAAGAACUUCGAGGGGCAAAAUGAAAGAGCAAAACUGAAGCAAAGUAGAAUCAAAGCUGGAUGAAAACAGGGUCGGGAUUGGACAGAUGUGUUUUGUCGGAUCGGAAUGGAACCGAACGAACUAAACUAGAGCAAGUCAGAAUCAGAUUAAACGGGAAAUCUGGGGCGAACAGAACGGAAACUGAACUGAAUGGAGCAGAGAGGCUUAGCGGAUCUGAACAAAAACAGAAACGAGGCGUCGUUGGAUCUGGGCUUCGAUCUAAACUUUGAAGGCAGACAUGAAGGAUGGGUCUGAACAAAAUUAGACAGAUCUGGAACAGAUUGAAGGCAGACGCGAGGAUCUGAGGACAUGGGGUUUCAUGGUUUUGUUGGGACAGCGUAAGGAGAUGGAGCAACGGCAACGAAACGCAGCGGCGAGCGGAGCUUCUUGGACGAUGGACAAAACCGAAACUCUUCGGCUGGGCGUUCGGCUUCAACUGGCAGAGGCGUUCGGCUUCAACUGGCAGAGGUUCAAUCGGCUGCUUGGCUAACAGAAAAACAAGAGGUCGGACGAAGAACUAUGAAGGAGAUGGCCGCCGCGGACGCUAGUGAAAAACUAAUGGGGUUUCUGGGGUUUGGAUAGUGGCAGAUUUGAACAGCAAUGAGUGGCAAAGGGAAGGUGCAACGACAACGGCAGAUUUGCAGAUCUAAGGGGUGGCUUCGGCUAAUGGGAGAUGAUUUUGCCUCCGUUGAUGGCUAAUGAGAGAUGAUUCUGCCUCCGUUGAUGAAUGAUCAACGGAGGCAGAGAUCAAACGGGAUGUGGAGGCUAGAAUUCAAUAAGGCGAAAACCCUAGAGCUCUGAUACCAUGUUGAUUUUAUGGAAUUAAUCUAUAUUUCAUUAAUUACUUAAUAGAGAUACAAGCCUAUAUAUAACCAUAGAGAAAUACACUUAAGGAAAUAAUAUCAAAUAAUAUCUCCAGAAUAAUAUCUCCUAAUAAUAAUCUAAUUAUAUUAAUACUUCGCACCUUCAUUACCAUAAACAAUCAACAGUUCCUCUUGAGAAAUGUAAUGAUGGUUCCUCUAUCAGGGCAAAUGGUGCUAUUGUACUUAGCUUUCUCAGCAUCAGUAAAAGAACCGAUUUUGACAGUUUUCUCGAGAAGCAUAUCAGUACUUGGCCUUAGCUUUCUCAGCAUCAGGCAAAGCACCGAUCUGCAUCAGGCAAAGCUUGUUAUCAACACACACUUUUUCAGCCAUAAGAUGUUCACACAUCUGUGUAAAACUUGCCAAAUAAAUAAUCCCAUUUCCUA
This 19529-nucleotide long non-coding RNA is filed under the name Cucumis sativus (cucumber). RNAcentral's name for it is "long non-coding RNA (CSAT_LNC002917)". The record is from RNAcentral. Lineage: Eukaryota; Viridiplantae; Streptophyta; Magnoliopsida; Cucurbitales; Cucurbitaceae.